ACUUUUUAUCACGUUGGCCUCAGAUCAGGGAGGAUUACCCGCCGAAUUUAAGCAUAUCAAUAAGCGGAGGA
RNAcentral lists this ribosomal RNA (71 nucleotides) under Eurema blanda arsakia. RNAcentral describes it as "partial 28S ribosomal RNA". The stretch from base 15 to 71 matches the Rfam family "Eukaryotic large subunit ribosomal RNA", at positions 1 to 57 of the family's 3401-position model. The record is from RNAcentral. Lineage: Eukaryota; Metazoa; Arthropoda; Insecta; Lepidoptera; Pieridae.